This 490-nucleotide ribosomal RNA is filed under the name uncultured bacterium. Its description in RNAcentral is "partial 16S ribosomal RNA". It matches the Rfam family "Bacterial small subunit ribosomal RNA", at positions 29 to 507 of the family's 1533-position model. The record is from RNAcentral.
AAUGAACGCUGGCGGCAUGCCUUACACAUGCAAGUCGAACGGCAGCAUGACCUAGCUUGCUAGGUUGAUGGCGAGUGGCGAACGGGUGAGUAAUGCAUCGGAACGUGCCUUUUAGUGGGGGAUAACGUAGCGAAAGUUACGCUAAUACCGCAUAUUCUCUGAGGAGGAAAGCAGGGGACCUUCGGGCCUUGCGCUAGAAGAGCGGCCGAUGUCGGAUUCGCUAGUUGGUGAGGUAAAGGCUCACCAAGGCAACGAUCCGUAGCGGGUCUGAGAGGAUGAUCCGCCACACUGGGACUGAGACACGGCCCAGACUCCUACGGGAGGCAGCAGUGGGGAAUGUUGGACAAUGGGCGCAAGCCUGAUCCAGCCAUGCCGCGUGAGUGAAGAAGGCCUUCGGGUUGUAAAGCUCUUUCGGCUGGGAAGAAAUCGCACCCUCUAAUACAGGGUGUGGAUGACGGUACCAGCAUAAGAAGCACCGGCUAACUACGUG